ACUGGGGCGCUAUGGUGCCUGGAGCUGGGCAGUUUUCUCGUCAGAGUGGGGACUGAUGAUGAUUAUUCCCCACCUUCUAAGAGACAAAGACCAACGAGCCACCACAGCCACCAGUCCCAGAACCCGCCAAUGCUGGGGAACGGAAAAUGAGGGAGUUCAACUCUGAGAAAUGGAAUCAUCGUAUCGCUGAUCUACGUAAACAAACUGAAGAAUUGUCUGAAAGAAAAUAUGACAUGAACUUAUGAAUUCAACAGGUGAAGAUUUACAACUUGAUAAAUCAACUUUGUGAGCUCGAGCUGUAAAAGCCAAAGGUCUGGUGAUGAUCCCAUACCCUUUUUUCCAGUCUCAUGUUGAAGAUUUUUAUGUAGAAGGCCUUCCCAAAGGAAUUUUUUUUUUUUUUUUUUUUUGAGAUGGAGUUUUCACUCUUAUCGCCCAGGCUGGGGUGCAAUGGCGCAACCUUGCUGGUCACUGCAACCUCUGCCUCCUGGGUUCAAGAAAUUCUCCUGCCUUAGCCUCCCAAGUCGCUGGGAUUAUAGGUGCCCACCACCACACCAGGCUAAUUUUUGUAUUUUUAGUGGAGAUGGGGUUUCACCAUGUUGGCCGGGCCAGUCUCGAACUCCUGAUGUCAAGUGAUCUUCCCGCCUCGACUCCUGACAUCAAGUGAUCUUCCCGCCUCGGCCUCCCAGAGUGCUGAGAUUACAGACGUGAACCCAUGCCUGGCCAGGAAUUUUGUUUUUUAGGAAGGCUUUCUACUAAUGGAAUUCCUGGCCUUGAGAGGAUGUUACUUUCGAAGGAAAGGAUUUUUUUGUUAUUAAAAGAGCCACCUAAGCUGAAGAUUCCCUUGAGAACAAGUACUGUCCUGCGGUUUCAUGGCCUUUCUUCCAUUUGUGGUUCUUGUGAAGUGGAAUUUAAAUGACAUCUUAUCAAGAUGGAUAAACCCUAGUUUCCCAGUGCUGGAAUAUAGAAAAUGGAUGGACAAGUAAAUCCCACUCAGCACCCAUAGUCCAGGCAUGGGGACCUCAACACACCUGAGCACCAGACAUCACCUUUCAUUCUGGACCUACCAUGAAAGACUUCUGAAUCCAGGAAGAGAAACUGACUGGGCAACAUGUUAUUCAGAGAUGGGACCUCAGUAUGUUGCCACGGCUGACCUUGAACUCCUGCACUCAAGGGAUUUUCCUACCCUGGCCUCCCAAAGUAUUGGUAUUACAGGCAUGAGCCAUUGUGCCCACCGUCUCUGGUUCUUAACCUUCUGCCUCCCUCUUCCAGUUUUAAAGAAUGCUUGUAAUUACAUGGGCUCUCCUAGAUACUCCAGGAUAAUCUUGUUUUAAGGUCAGCUGAUGAGCAACAUUAAUUUUAUCUGCACUAUUAAUUCCCCCUUCCUAUGUAAUUGUGCUGUGUAACAUAGGACAUGAGCAAUUGGUGGCGGUGGGGGUUAUUACUUUGGCCACCACAGUAACUAUUUUAUGCCAGGUACUCAGCUAAGCACUGGUGAAUUAAGCAUGAAUAACACACACUCCCUAAUCUCCAUCCAUUCAUGGGAGGAGCACUUCACCUGCCAUGCUCCUGAGAAUCUCGGGAGUCAGAGAAGUCUUCUAUGAGGAGGUGAUGCCAAAGCGGACAAGUGACAGAGGAGUCAAAGCUAGCUAGGAAGGGAGUAGAGGUUUAAGGGGAAGCAUAUUAUAAGCAGAGGAUAUUACCCACUUCAGAGACUCCCAGAGGAGAAAGAGUGUGCGUUCAAGAGGCAGAUGAGGCUCAGUUGGACUCCAUAGCAGAUGAAAUGGAGAGGGGCAAGCAGUGAGGCUGCCUUGCAAGGCAGGGCAGAGCAGGGGCUGUUAAGGAGUUUGGACUUAAUCCCUGAGGCAAGGAGAAGUGAUGUAAAUGGAGGAGUAACAUGAUGAGAUUCAUGGAUUAGAGACAUGGCUCAGGCUGCUGUAGAGAAGGCACCAGGGAGAGCAGAUGGCUCAAUGGGUGUGCAGGAGACCUCUCCCUGAGUUUAGGGAGAGGUUUUUAAAACAGAAGAAGUUUGAGUAAUUUAAAUGAUGAUGGGAAGGAGCUAAAAGUGGGGGAUAGGUUAAAGAUACAGGAAAGCAGGAGGAAGAACUGACAAGUGAGGUUCCAGAGAGGGCAGGAGAAGAGGAGAUUCCCAUAGGGGGAUUAACACUUUCUUUUCUUUUUUCUUUCUAAGACAGGGUCUCACUCUGUCGCCCAGGCUGGAGUGCAGUGGCACAAUCUUGGCUCACUGUAGUGUAGACUUCCCAGGCUCAAGGGAUUUCUCCCACCCCAGACUCCCAAGUAGCUGGAACUAUGGGUGUGCACCACCACCACACCUGGCUAAUGUCUCUUUUUUUUGGUAGACACAGAGUCUCACUAUUUAGCACUGAUUGGUCUCCAACUCCUGGCCUCAAGCGAUCCUCCUGCCUAGGCUUCCCAAAUUGCUGGGAUUACAGGCAUGAGCCACAAUGCCUGGCCUCUGCUAGUUCCGUAUUCUCUAGAGUUGUCUUUACUUUGUGCUAGUGUGUCCCUCAUUGUGCUGAUCCUCUGUAAAAAUUAAUACCUUUUUUUUUUUUUUUUUUUUUGAGAUGGAGUUUCACUCUUGUUGCCCAGGCUGGAGUGCAAUGGCACUAUCUCGGCUCAGCGCAACCUCCACCUGCCGGGUUCAAGCGAUUCUCCUGCCUCAGCCUCCCGAGUAGUUGGGAUUACAGGCAUGUGCCACCAUGCCCAGCUGAUUUUGUAUAUUUAGUAGAGAUGGGGUUUCUCUAUGCUGGUCAGGCUGGUCUCGAACUCCUGACCUCAGGUGAUCUGUCUGCCUUGGCCUCCCAAAGUGCUGGGAUUACAGGCAUGAGCCAUUUUGCCUGGCCAAAAUUAAUACUUUUUAUAUUAAAUUUACAUAUAUAUAUAUAUAUAUAUGUUUUUUCUUUUUGAUACCGGGUCUCACACUGUCACCCAGGCUGGAGUACAGUGGCACAACCUCUGCUCACUGCAGCCUCCACCUGCCAGGCUCAAGCAAUGCUCCUGCCUCAGCCUCCCGAGUAGCUGGGAUUACAGGUAAGUGCCACCACACCCAGCUGAUUUUUGUGUUUUUUGUAGAGACGAGGUUUCGCCAUGUUUCCCAGACUGUUCUCAAACUCCUGAGCUCAAAGCAGUCCACCCACCUUGGCCUCCCAGAGUGCUGGGAUUACAGGUGUGAGCCAUCUUGCUCAUUCUAGUUUAAACUUUUGAGUAGUUUGUGUCUCCUGAUUGGACUCCUACAAAUACAGAAUUGAUGCUAGGAAGGGUACCAGGAGAUAGACGCACACAGAUGGGAUUUGGGAAUAGGUUUGGUUAUCCAAGGAGCAGUGCUGAGCUCCUUGCUAAUGGGAUAUGGGAUGCUGGUGAUUUCCAGGAAGUGAGCUCACAAUGACUCAAGCUGCCACAUAGUGUUGAUUGUGAAAUGCCAGUUGAAGCAUAUGUCCUGCGAGCUUGGGGGUGCUACAAGUUGACCACUGCAGCAGUAAAGAUGACUCUGAAGAAUGGCGUGGGAUGGAUCCUUUCAAAUGCACUUGAGCAGCAGUCUCCAACCACAGGGCCACAGAGCUGGAGCUGGAUCUACCAUGAAAGACUUCUGAAUCCAGGAAGAGAGACUGACUGGGCAACAUGUUAUUCAGGGUCUCCCUCUGUUGUCCAAGGCUGGAGUGUAGUAGUGCUAUCACAGCUGACUGCAGCCUCAACCUUCUAGGCUGAAGCGAUCCUCCCAUCUCAACCUCCCACGUGGCUGAGACUACAGGUGCUUGCCACUAUGCCCAACUAAUAUUUGGAAUUUUCGUAUACGUGGAUUCCAGAGGGGUGACAGCGAAAUUAGGUGACCUCACAGUGACUCAAGCUACCACUUACUGUUGAUUGUGACGAAAUGCCAGCUGAGGCACAUGCCUUGGGAGCUAAGUGGUUGCUGCACUUGACCACUGUGAAGACUGGUGUGGGAAGAAGGGUCGUUUCUGAUGCACUUGAGCAGGGGUCCCCAACCCCUGAGCCAUGGAGCCGCAAGGAGCCACACAGCAGGAGCUCCUACCUCCCGGCAGCCUCUCCAGGCCCAGAACUUUCUCCAGUCAGCCUCUACAGACCAAGCUCAUGACUCACAAUGGCCUAUUUAGGCCCAUACCCUACCUCACGGCAGUCUCCGCAGAUGAGCCUACUGCCUCACAACAGCCUCCACAGGCACAGCUCCAUCGUUACAAUGGCCUCUUUAGACCCAGCUCCUGCCUCCCAGCCUUCUCUCCAGGCCCUGAACUUUCUCAAGUCGACCUCACCAGGCCCAGCUCAUGCUUCUUUGCAGCCUCUCCAGGCCCAACUCCUGCAUCUUGGUGGCCCCUCCAGGCCCAGCCUGUGCCUCCCGUCGGCCUCUACAAUCCCAACAUCUGCCUCACAGCAGAUUCUUCACGCCCAGCCUCUGCCUCACAGUGGACCCUCCAGACCCAGAUGGUGUCUCACUGUGGCAUCCUCAGGCGAAGCUCCUGCCUUUCAGCAGCCUCUCCAGGCCCAGCUCCUCCUGCCUCCCAGUGGCCUCUUUCGGCCCAGCCCAGCUCAUGCCUCCCGGCGGCCUUCCCAAGCCCCGCUUUUGACUUUUGGUGGCCUCUGCAGGCCUCGACAAGGCCCAGCCUCCUGCCUCCCGAAGGCCUGCACAGGCCCAGCCUCUGCCUCACAGCGGACUCUCCACGCCCAGCUAGCUCUCGCCUCACUGCGGCCUCCCCAGUCCAAAGCUCCUGCCUUUCGGCCACUUCGGCAGGUCCAGCUACUGCCUGCCAGUGGCCUCUUUAGGCCCAGCUCAUUCCUCACAACGGCCUUUCCAGGCCCCGUUUUUCCCUUCCGGCAGCCUCUUGGCUUCUAAUUUGUUUAUCUUUUGUGUAUAAAUCCCAAAAUAUGGAAUUUUGGAAUAUUUCCACCAUUAUAUAUUUUGGUCGGUAAUUUAUUUGGAGUGAGUUUCUGCACCAUGCCCGAAUUUUUUAUUUUAUUUUCCUUAUUAUUUGGUGUUAAACAGGUUUAAUGACAGUCAUGGCAACUUUUUGGCACAAUGAAAAAUAUCGCCCAUGAUCAACGUGUUCUGUUCUGGGGAAGGGGGCAAAGGCAGGGUGAAUCACUUUCUUAAAAAGUAUAGCUCAAGUUGGGAGUGCAGAGGGAAUGGGGAGAAAACCCUCCCGCUGCCUGUGUCGAAGUGCAGGAGCCCCCACCCCCAUACUCACCUGAGUCCAGCCCCUCUGGGGAAAGAAGGGGUGCAUGAACUCCCCCUAGUCCACAGGCGCCUCCCUGUGGCCCAAGGCCCUCUUCACACUCCAUCUUGUAGCCCCAGCAGGAGCUAUUUUCUGAAAAGUGAAAAGCUCUGAAGGUCCCACAAUUCAUGGUAUGUACAGGGGCUCGGAGGAGGGAAACUGCCCAGCUUUCCCCCGGCACAGCUGCAGGGGUAGGGGGUAUAGAUAAGAGGAGCAGGCCUUGGCCAGGCGUGGUGGCUCACGCCUGUAAUCCCAGCACUUUGGGAGGGGGAGGCAGGCAGAUCACGAUGUCAGGAGAUCGAAAUCAGCCUGGCCAAGAUGAUGAAGCCCCGUCUGUACUAAAAAUACAAAAAUUAGCCGGACGUGGUAGUGUGCACCUGUAAUCCUAGCUACCCGGAAGGCUGAGGCAGGAGAAUGGCGUGA
This 5666-nucleotide long non-coding RNA is filed under the name Homo sapiens (human). RNAcentral describes it as "non-protein coding lnc-TP53BP2-8:3". Lineage: Eukaryota; Metazoa; Chordata; Mammalia; Primates; Hominidae. The record is from RNAcentral.